RNAcentral lists this ribosomal RNA (1307 nucleotides) under Escherichia coli. RNAcentral describes it as "partial 23S ribosomal RNA". It matches the Rfam family "Bacterial large subunit ribosomal RNA", at positions 496 to 1789 of the family's 2925-position model. Lineage: Bacteria; Pseudomonadati; Pseudomonadota; Gammaproteobacteria; Enterobacterales; Enterobacteriaceae. The record is from RNAcentral.
CAGUACCGUGAGGGAAAGGCGAAAAGAACCCCGGCGAGGGGAGUGAAAAAGAACCUGAAACCGUGUACGUACAAGCAGUGGGAGCCUCUUUAUGGGGUGACUGCGUACCUUUUGUAUAAUGGGUCAGCGACUUAUAUUCUGUAGCAAGGUUAACCGAAUAGGGGAGCCGAAGGGAAACCGAGUCUUAACUGGGCGUUAAGUUGCAGGGUAUAGACCCGAAACCCGGUGAUCUAGCCAUGGGCAGGUUGAAGGUUGGGUAACACUAACUGGAGGACCGAACCGACUAAUGUUGAAAAAUUAGCGGAUGACUUGUGGCUGGGGGUGAAAGGCCAAUCAAACCGGGAGAUAGCUGGUUCUCCCCGAAAGCUAUUUAGGUAGCGCCUCGUGAAUUCAUCUCCGGGGGUAGAGCACUGUUUCGGCAAGGGGGUCAUCCCGACUUACCAACCCGAUGCAAACUGCGAAUACCGGAGAAUGUUAUCACGGGAGACACACGGCGGGUGCUAACGUCCGUCGUGAAGAGGGAAACAACCCAGACCGCCAGCUAAGGUCCCAAAGUCAUGGUUAAGUGGGAAACGAUGUGGGAAGGCCCAGACAGCCAGGAUGUUGGCUUAGAAGCAGCCAUCAUUUAAAGAAAGCGUAAUAGCUCACUGGUCGAGUCGGCCUGCGCGGAAGAUGUAACGGGGCUAAACCAUGCACCGAAGCUGCGGCAGCGACGCUUAUGCGUUGUUGGGUAGGGGAGCGUUCUGUAAGCCUGCGAAGGUGUACUGUGAGGUAUGCUGGAGGUAUCAGAAGUGCGAAUGCUGACAUAAGUAACGAUAAAGCGGGUGAAAAGCCCGCUCGCCGGAAGACCAAGGGUUCCUGUCCAACGUUAAUCGGGGCAGGGUGAGUCGACCCCUAAGGCGAGGCCGAAAGGCGUAGUCGAUGGGAAACAGGUUAAUAUUCCUGUACUUGGUGUUACUGCGAAGGGGGGACGGAGAAGGCUAUGUUGGCCGGGCGACGGUUGUCCCGGUUUAAGCGUGUAGGCUGGUUUUCCAGGCAAAUCCGGAAAAUCAAGGCUGAGGCGUGAUGACGAGGCACUACGGUGCUGAAGCAACAAAUGCCCUGCUUCCAGGAAAAGCCUCUAAGCAUCAGGUAACAUCAAAUCGUACCCCAAACCGACACAGGUGGUCAGGUAGAGAAUACCAAGGCGCUUGAGAGAACUCGGGUGAAGGAACUAGGCAAAAUGGUGCCGUAACUUCGGGAGAAGGCACGCUGAUAUGUAGGUGAAGUCCCUCGCGGAUGGAGCUGAAAUCAGUCGAAGAUACCAG